This 170-nucleotide non-coding RNA is filed under the name Clostridiales bacterium. Its description in RNAcentral is "Lysine sequence". It matches the Rfam family "Lysine riboswitch aptamer". Rfam says of the family: Riboswitches are metabolite binding domains within certain messenger RNAs that serve as precision sensors for their corresponding targets. Allosteric rearrangement of mRNA structure is mediated by ligand binding, and this results in modulation of gene expression. The record is from RNAcentral. Lineage: Bacteria; Bacillati; Bacillota; Clostridia; Eubacteriales.
UUUUAUGGUAGAGGCGCAUCUUAUAAUAAAUAGUUGAUAUUUAAAUCUGUUUCACAGACAGGAAUCAACGAAAGGUAUGGAUGCCGAAGACAGCCAAGGUGAAAGGCUGAUCUGGUUUGAGUAAAUAAGAUUGCUCCGACUGUCGCAUUUUGCGGAGAGCUAUCUGAAAA